CGCCCGGUGCGCAUGCGCACUGACCCCCAGGUGGGCGGGGCUCGGGCCGCCUGUGGAGGGUGAGAGGGGAGCCGCGGCGUGCGCAUGCGCUGCCUGAUGGGCUAGAUCCUAGUCCUGCGUCCCUCCUCUCCCGGGUCUCAGCAAAGCGGGGUGGUGGGGGCCGCCGCCCCCCAGGGCCCGUCAGGUCAUGGCAGCCAAGGUCCCUCCGCCUGUGUGUGAAGGGGGGGCAGGCUGGGGGCCCCCCGUGGCCAACUGGAGGCGCCCUAGGACAGGCGGGUCGGGUGCACAGCAGCCCCGCGGGCUCAGCCCGGCCGUCCCGCCUUGCCAGUACCUCCUGCCUCAGAAAGCAGCGAGUCCCCCCCGGGCCUCUGGCGGGGAGCCCCGACCCGCGCCCCGGGGCAGAGGCCCAGCGCGGCACCCCACGGUUCUGAGCCGCAGCAGCUCCGUUGGGAAGGAAGCGCCGGGGCUUAGAAACGCCUCCUGCCGUGGCAGGGACAAGGGAUUGCCAUCUACAACCUUUUGAAACCACAAUUCCGGACAGAACUACAGCAACAUAGGAAUUACCUUAUUGGAAAAGACCAGAGGUCCCUCUACUCCUUCAUCUUUUCUCUGACAGUGGCCAGUACUAGACGUUUCUGAGGAAGCCUUAGCCUGCAUGUGGAGGAAGAGGAGGCAACUAAAGAAGGAGACCAUUCUAAAGAGCUGAAUAUGUUUACUCAGAAGAGGACUAAAAAGAAAAAUCUCUAGAUUUGCCCGGGCAGGGAAGAGGCACUCUUGUCACUAAAAUAUUGAAGAGCAUUUUCUUCCUGAGAAUUGGUUUGGUGAACUUGGUGGGACACAUCUUAAUUGUCAGCUCUCUGGAUUUGACUUCAUAGAGCACCUUGCGCACGCUGGAUGCUAUAAAAGCCAGCAAAAAAUACUGUGGAAAGCUGUGUCAUGGGAGGGGAUGGAAGAAGAUAGGGCCUUGUGUCACUAGAGCACCCCGUCUUCCUACUAAAGAAUGGCAAUGAUGGGCUCAGAAGGGAAUCCUGUUCUCUUUAGCUGUAGGAAAGAAAUAUUACAACAUAAUCUCUCACUUUCAAGUACUGUGUGCUGAUGAUGGCUGGUGUUCAAUGGGGCACAGAAGGGAUUUUCAUGGAUGUUUGUGAACAUCAUUCAGAUGAAACAUUAAAUGUUGAUCAGACUGGAAAUACGAUCAUCCACAUUUUUGCUCUAUGCGUGAGCAUUGUGCGAGUUGUUACAUUGCUGUACACUGCUACGUGUACCAUGCUGUGCUACCAACUUAGACAAAUCCAAGUAGUUGUAAUUAGGUGUGGAUAAAAUUUCAGCUCUGUCAACUCAAUUAGCACCAUGUCCAUAGACUUCCAGUCAAAAUGGACUCUUCACAAGAUUCAAGUCAAACACAUUAUACGAAGCCUGUUCCUCCUAAAAAAGGAAUUUUCAUAUUCAUAUAUAAAUCAAUGGCAUUUAUUUUUAUAGCAUGAAUUGUACCUACAUAUGAUUUUUCAUUCUUGGCCUUUUUCUUCUAAGUGGCUCUAUUCUCCCUUUCCCACAAUUUCACUAUUAGCUAAUCUUAUAUUUUUGUA
This is a long non-coding RNA of Mauremys reevesii (Reeves's turtle), 1586 nucleotides long. RefSeq lists it as uncharacterized. The record is from RefSeq and is a predicted model, not a curated record. The transcript is spliced from 7 exons. Lineage: Eukaryota; Metazoa; Chordata; Testudines; Geoemydidae.